AUUGAACGCUGGCGGCAGGCCUAACACAUGCAAGUCGAGCGGAUGAACGUAGCUUACUUCUGGAUUCAGCGGCGGACGGGUGUAUAGGGCCUAGGAAUCUGCCCGCGUGUGUAGGAUAACGUACGCAAACGGGUGCUAAUACCGCAUGCGUCCUGAUGCCGUAUGAGGGGGAUCAUCGGACCUCUCGCUAUCACAUGAGCCUAGGUCGGAUUAGCUAGUUGGUGGGGUAAAGGCUUAUCGAGGAGACGAUCCGUAACUGGUCUGAGAGGAUGAUCAGACACACUGGAACUGGGACGCGGUCCAGACUACUGCGAGAGGCAGCAGUGGGGAAUACCUGACAGUGGGAGCAAGCCUGAUCCAGGCACAACGCGUGUGUGAAGAAGGUCGUCGGGUUGUAAAGCACUUUAGGUCGGGGGGAAGUGCAGUACGUUUAUACCGGGCUGUUUUGACGGUACCAACAGAAUAAGCACCGGCUAACUACGUG
RNAcentral lists this ribosomal RNA (484 nucleotides) under uncultured bacterium. RNAcentral's name for it is "partial 16S ribosomal RNA". It matches the Rfam family "Bacterial small subunit ribosomal RNA", at positions 30 to 507 of the family's 1533-position model. The record is from RNAcentral.